GCUACUAGUAUAUUGUUGUAGCCAAUUUCAGAGAUGGUAGAUUCGAAGUCAUAUGCCCUUUCAAGGAUAUAGCAAUAAUACAAUCAGAUGCCUUCAAUGUUAUUUGCAAAUUCAGAAAAGUCUUCAAAGCAGUUCAUUCAAGAUCUACAAGGGUUGACAUAUACGACAUGCCCACUGUUUUUGGAAGUGUCUCCAACCAGACCAACCACAAUGACAGUGGGGUUUUUGUUCUACAACUUCUUCUAGCGUACGAUGGCAAGACACAUUUCCACUUCAAAGAGGAGCAUGCGAAGCCAUUGCGUGAAUCUAUAACAUAUUAUCUAUGCACUCAUGAGGAGAACGAAUUGAUCAUGCCAGAAAUAAAGGACAUUGCAAGACAACAUAUAAGACCACUUUUUAUCACUCAGAAAUUUUGUGGAGACCACCUUUU
This is a long non-coding RNA of Panicum virgatum (switchgrass), 430 nucleotides long. RefSeq lists it as uncharacterized. NCBI's taxonomy places the organism in Eukaryota, Viridiplantae, Streptophyta, Magnoliopsida, Poales, Poaceae. The record is from RefSeq and is a predicted model, not a curated record. The transcript is spliced from 3 exons.